UCUGAUCUAUGAUGACUACAUAAUACAAUGGUGACUGUUGGAUGAAGCUAGCGGAUAUGGGGCUGAGAUCAGCU
Molecule: non-coding RNA, 74 nt
Organism: Xyrichtys novacula (pearly razorfish)
Lineage: Eukaryota; Metazoa; Chordata; Actinopteri; Labriformes; Labridae
Source: the annotation of a GenBank genome assembly